GAAGAGAGGUUUAUCAUGUAUCGAGAUAGAAUGGCGAGCCACUCCAUCAUCAAUGAUCUUGGGGUCUCUUCUUCUCCUCUUCUAGCAUCGAAAUUCAGAGGAAGGUUCAAAUGAAAGAGAAAUAGAGUCGUAGGGGAAAAGAACAACUUCUCGAGAACUAGAGGAAGGAUCCAUCAAGCAUCGUCAUGGGAUCAGAGAGAGCUAAGAGCAGAGCGAUGAUUAGAAUAUCGAAA
Molecule: long non-coding RNA, 233 nt
Filed under: Elaeis guineensis (African oil palm)
Lineage: Eukaryota; Viridiplantae; Streptophyta; Magnoliopsida; Arecales; Arecaceae
Description: long non-coding RNA (EGUI_LNC007802)
Source: RNAcentral